UAAACUGGCCAUAAUUUUACGCGCAAAGUUUGACAUAAGACGAAAACAUAAUUUCUCGCCAUUGAGAACAACUGCAUGCACAGAGAUAUUGAUUGAGAGCACGCGUCAAAUAUCAUUUUAUUUAUUCCAGAGAUAGGUGUUGUUACUUAUUGAGACACUUGGUAUGAAACAACCCAUGCACGCACAAGCAUGGUUUUAUAGCAGGCUCGCUAGCUAGGAAAAUAUUAGAAUCAAAAGUUGCCUCCAAUUCCCCCACCAGCACCACCACCAAAACCUCCACCACCUCCUUUGCCUCCUCCAAUGCCACCACCAGCACCAACACCUCCACCAAAUCCUCCUCCACCUCCUGCACCACCACCAGCUCCACCUCCUAUGUCGCCACCUUUUCCACCCCCAGCACCACCUCCUACGCCACCUCCAGCUCCACCUCCUAUACCACCACCUUUUCCACCCCCAAUGCCACCACCAGCACCUCCUCCAGCUCCACCUCCUACGCCACCACCAGCUCCACCUCCUAUACCACUACCUUUUCCACCACCAAUACCCCCACCAGUGCCUCCUCCGGCCCCACUUCCUAGUCCACCACCUUUUCCACCUCCAAUGCCACCACCAGCACCCCCACCAGCGCCCCCACCGCCUCCUAUUCCACCACCUUUUCCGCCUCCAAUGCCACCACCGGCGCCCCCGCCUAAACCACCACCAUGUCCACCUCCAGCACCAUCACCGCCUCCAAGACCUCCACCUGCUCCUGCACCACCCCCACCACCAAAACCACCUCCAAUGCCUUUAGAAAAUUCAUCUUCCUCAAGUUUCCUACAUUCCGAAAUUCCUAUGACCAACGCAAAGAACACAACCAUCACACCAACAGACUUAAAUAUUAGUUUCCCCAUAUUUCUAAAAGAGUCGAAGAAAGACACAAAUGCUUGCUUUGUGAUGCUAAGCUUCAAAGGCUUAGUGCUCUAUUUAUAGAGUAACCAAGUGGCACACUUUAUUGCGUGUACUAAUCUUACUUAAUGAAAUGUCCCAAAAUUCAACUCAGUUUGAAUAGAAUCGUCAAUUGCCGGUGAAAUAAUAGUGAAGCUGUCACCAUUACUCAACUACUAACCUAAUGCAUGUCUCCACUCACCACCGUCACAAGUAAUUUACAAUUAAACCAUAUAUUUCUGACCACUAAGAUUAUCAACUAAGAUUAUCAGAAGAAAAGCUCAAUUAAGAGAUUUGGAAAUAUGAUGGCAUGGUAUCAAAUCAAAUGGACCGCACUAUAUAUUAGCAAGAAGUUGAUUCCAGUUUAGGAAACCAAAAAUGUAAUUGAUUCGAGUGGUGCUACCGAUUUAGUGUAAGCUUGUUAGCUUUGGUAUUUGUACUUUAUCAAAAAAAAAAACAAAAAAACUUUGGUAUUUGUACUUUGGGCUUUAGCCUUAUGCUACAGGAAUUUGAUAGUAUCUUCCAAAAUGAAGCUACUUUUUACGCAUCACAUUCACAUUUACCAGCUCUUAAUAAUGAAAGAAUGAUAUUGGAUUUUGUAAGUAAUAUCUCAAAUUUUUAUCUCGAAUAUUGAUGUGGCACUCAUUUAUUAUAUAAAAUAAUAAAUUUCAGUACUUGUAAAAUUAUUAAUCAUUCUACUUACAUUAUUCAAUAUCAUACUAAUAAAUGAAUGUCGUUUCAUUUCAAACUAAACAAUACUACUCAAGAAGUGUUGAAUUACUUAUUAUAAAAAUCUCCAUAUUAACCAUUUUUUUUGCCAGCAUGGAAGGAGUGGAAAGGGGAAGCAUCUAUACAUUUAUCAUUGAUCAUAAUUUAAUACUUUUAACAUAUUUUUUCUUUUUAAAAAAAAUUAUUUUCGGCCAUAUAUAUAUAGUCGUUCAAAAUUUCCAUAGGCCGCCAAUGGGUUCAUAGUCCAUUGACAUCCUGUUCUUGAGCGCAUGGAUUCCAGUACUAGUAAUGACUCGGACACGACUCUCAUCUCAAUAAGGAUCUAUUUGUCUCUCUUCUUAGUGGGGAUCUACCUUAUUGUAAUGCAUCAGCAUAAAAAAAAAAAAAAAAAUUCCUUGCUCCACUACAUCUUUGGUGUCCUAUGCAUCAUAGAAUUGAUUGUUCUCCAUAAGCAAAACCCAGAUCACUUUUAUUCCUAGAACCAAUCUCAUAAACACUAUUCACGAUUUCACAUCACCAUCAAAAUUACCAUCAGAUCCUUGCUUUUCAACCCUUGCGGCUGCAGCUCCAGCGUUAGUCAAACUGCCGCCACUAAUCCUUGCACUGUCCCCUAACGUUUCUGCAAUAAUACUAGUUGCAUGUGGAUGAUAAAUCAUAUUUUAGAGCUUCCGGCAUUGGCUGUCCCAAUCGUCAGUACAAACAUUAAAGUCACCAAGCUAACACGUACAUUGUGAGAAUUUUGCCGUCUUUCUAUUUUAUUCAAGCAAAAGAUCGAUCGAAAGGAAGAAAAGAAAGCUUGUUUUAUGGCAUUGGCAGGCUCAGUGGGAAGCCCUAUUUGUAGCUUAUGAAAUAGUAGAAAAUGUUAAUGCAAUUUGUUCAUGUUUGUUCGUCAGAUGUUACUGUCAUCGAUCAGGAGUACGUAAACGUAAUAAAUUUUAAUUCCGAAUUAAAAAUUUUGAAAAGAUUUAAGCUCAAUAAUUUUGAGACGUGUACAUUUGCACGAUAGAGAUAUAUAAGAAAUCCUUUUUUUUUUGGGUGGCGCAAUUGAUCCACUUAAAUUUACUGUUUAUAUGUCCAAAAUCUGAAACACAAUUAUAAUUGAUUUGAGAAGUUAUCUUGGAUCCAAUACACUAACAAUCAUCAAUCACGUAAGUGAUUGUCAAACAAAAUUUGAGAAUGGAUUCUCAUAAAAAAAAAGGUGAUAAUCAGAAUAUCACCUUGGUUCUUUUUUUACUUUCACAUGCAAAUAGUGAGAAAGGGAAUGGAACUUUCUAUUUCACUAUUCAUAAAUAUUUAUUCCUAGUGGGAGAUCUUAUUCAUAUAUUUAUGCUAUCAUUAGUUACUGAAUUCUAGAAAAUUAGGAAAUCGCCCACAAUUGUAUAUAUCCCCAUGCCACCACAUCUUGGGAGCCCUAAUUAGUACCUCCAUCAUUAAUAAUAUUACCACUGGCAGAUCCUACACUCUCAUCACCAUGCAUCCAAACCAACUUGAUGUUCUACUUUUGUAGCUGCAACACCAACGCCAACAUUAAUCACAGUGCCCUUUUUAAAUCCUCCGUCGUGUGAUUUGAAGCUGCGCGCGGCCAGCACUUGUUUUUUUGUCCAAAUCUAUCUUCGAAGCCGCCUUCAGAAGUUUCGUUUUUUUCUCAAUUUGCUUCCGGCAUUGAGCUAUCCCUAGAAUCAAUGUUAAUAGAAACGUCACAGCUAACACGCCGAUGUACUUGCAAUGUUUUCUCAUGUUUUAAAAAGACAACACACAGAAUGAGCAAUAGAUGUGAUUAUGUUCUUGCUUGGUGUUACAACGCUCGGACCGGUGACACUUAUUUAUAGUGCAAGAGUAAUGGAAUUAAAUUAAUGCAUUCAGUUGAAGAUGUUUCUAUGACAGAAAUUUCUAUAAUGCGGUGUUUAAAAUUAUGUUGUCAAUGACAUAACAAACAUAAAUUUUGUAUAAGAUUAGUAAAUAGAAGGUAAAACAAGUAAAUUAAUAUAAGAGUGGUAAAUAUGUGUUUUAAAAUAACAAACAAAAUAAACAAUUAUAAAAAUAAUACAAAAUUUGUAAAUCAACAUUAAAAUUUAAUUAAAAAUAUUUUAUUCAUUUAAUUUAAUUAACCAAAGAAAAAAAUUCACUCAUCAAUUUGAAAAUAAAAAAAAAUUGUAUUGAGAACAAUUGGAAUAAGGAUUGAAUUUUAUUGAAUUAGUAUAACCAUGAGUUCUAUAUUCAUCCUAGGACAUUUAUAAUUUUUUUUAUCAUAGUAUUUGUUUAUUAUGAAAAAUUAUUUUUCUUGAUGUGGAUCAAGCCAAAAACAAAAAGAUAUUCAUAUAUUAGUAGACAUAUAUGAUAUAUGAUGUAGGAUGUUAUGUGUCGCGAGUAGAGUACUUUUCAGAGGCCAUAACUUGGACUACAUGUGUCUGUUUUUGGCAUAUAAUAUAUUAUUUCGAAGCUUACGACGAGACGAACAAAAUUCAAAACUGCCUAAGUCGUUCUGCCCUGUGGUCAAGCUGGAAAUUCUACUUCUUUCCUGGUCAUUUUAUAGUUUUAAGAUUUUUCCCUAUUUUUUCUAUUUUUUCUUGGAUUUUUAUCUUCUCUUUAGAAUUCGAAUUUGAGUGUCAUUUGUUUUUCUUUUCUUAUUUUGAUUAGAAAAUUUUAAUUAUUAUAUUAUAUUUCGGAUUUUCUUAUUUUGGUACAUUCACGAUAAUUAGGCUUAUUAUAAAAGAGGCUCAAAACUCUAAUAUUAUUCAAUCAAACUUUCAACAAGAUUUACCAUUAUUCAGAAACCUAGUUUCUUUUAUCAGCAAACUCAACAACGUUUGUGUUUUGUCAAUAUAUUUAUAACAUUGGAUAUAUUUUUGAGUUUUAUACAUAUUUCAUGUAGUUUCAAAAUUUGCUUUUGACUAUACUUAGGGUGCGUUUGGAAUUGAGGUGUUAUAGCUUUUAAGAUAUAGCUACUGUGGAAAAAAAUUGUAACUAUGAAAUAAAAGUUAAUAAUAUGUAAUAAAUAUAAAUUUUGAAUAAUAUGUUAGUCUAAAGGGCUACACAUAUUGUAAUUUUGAUGAUAACAAACAUAUGUAUUAAGUGAUUUAAUAAAUAUUAUAUUUCACAUUUUCAUUAGUUUUUGAAGGGUAAUAUUUAUACAAGUGAAUCAAGUGAAAUCAAGCUCAAGACACUCAACGGACAACGACGAAAUCAAGAAUAAAGUUUAGAGCUCAACGGAUAAAUUAGUGUGAUAAAUUCUUGUAAAGCCGGUAUGAUUAAAUUGAUGCAUGAUUUAGCAUUUGAGAAGCUCAAGAGAUUAAUUUAAUUAAUCACUUUUUAUAAACUAAAAGGUUUUAUUUUUAUAAGAUAAAGCACCUUGUGGUUUUGAGUAAUUUGGACUUAAAUGCUAAGUUUUAAAAUCUUUGAUUUUAAUAAGUAUUAUUAUUAAAUUUCGGAGUUGGACAUUUUUACAAACAUUUGAAAUGUUUUGGGUCAUACUAUAAUUUAUUAAUAGUUUAGACUAAAGUGAAAGGUUUCGAGAACUUUGAUAAAUAUGGGUAUUAUGUUGAAAAGGACUUUUUUGUGAAAUAAUAAUAUAUUUGGGGCCAUGUCAUAAUUUCAGAAAGUUUUGAGCUGACAAUCAUUAUUAAGAAAUUUUGAAAUUGGACCUAUUUAUAAAGUUUUAUAACAUUUAGGCCAUAGUAUAAUUAUAUAAAGUUUUGGGCUAAAGUGUAAUUUUAAUGAACAAUGUUACUAUAGCAAAAUUCAAAAAUAACGGUAAUAUCACUGUUCAUGAGUGGCUAGUUGGAUAAAUCAAGCGGCUAACCGCUUGGGCGCUGGAAUUUACCUAUAACGGCUAACCGUUUGGGAGCUGGAAUUUACCUAUAACGGCUAGUUUUCGGACUUUAACUAUAAAAACUCAACUCUAACUUCAUUUUAAGAACUAAUACAAGGAAAAACAACGUCAUAUAACAUAUAUUGAGCUUCCAUUUCGUAAAUCAUCAUUUGUUGAAUCAUCGUUGAGCUAUAAUUUGUUAUCUACUCUUAAAGAGAGUUUCAUUGUUGUGAUUUUCAUUUCUCAUCAAAUUGUGAGUGUAUAAGUGUGAGAAACACUUGGGGUGAAGAGAUUGGGGAGAUAAUCUCUUGUUGUAAAGGUCCAUUGACAUCUUGGAAGUCAAUUGUAAACAUUUGAAGCAUUGUGAGGCUUGGAUAGUGAAAUCCUCAAGCCGGGUGUGCUUGAAGGCGUGGACGUAGGCAGGGAUAGUCGAACCACGUAAAAAUCUUUGUGUUUGUUUUCUCUUCCUUUACUCUUUUAAUAUUGUGCUUGAUUGAAUUUAUUAUUUUUUAUUUGAUUAAGGCAAUAGAUUAAAUUGUUGUGUGAAUUAUAUUGCAUAAUUUUAAAAUCCCAAUUCACCCCCCCUCUUGGGUUGCAUAACUUGCAUUUCAUAAUAAUUUUGAUAAAAUUAUUAAAGAUAUAAUAUAUUUUUCAUCAUAUAAGUGAAAACCCAUAUUAAUAUAGCUUCCAAGCUACAAAAGCUAGUAUUUACCAAAUACUUUAGUGCUGUAACUUUUAAACUACAGCUGCCCAACCUCAAUCCUAAACGCACCCUUAAAGAUUAUUUGAUGUUGUUUAAGGAGCUUCAAAAUGAUAAAAAACAUGAAAAGUAUCAUUUUUUAAAAAUCUAAUUUUGAGAUAAAUUUUAUCCUUAACAAAUCAUCACAUAAAUUACAUAAACUCAAAAUUAUCAUUAUUCAAUUUAGAUAUAAAAUCAGAAAAUAUAUAAGGUAAUUAUUAUUAUAAUGAGUUUUUAAUUUGUAUUUGUAGGUUUUUAUUUUUAUCAAUAACUCUUAUAUUAAUUUAUUUGUUUUACCUUCUAUUUACGAGUCGUGUGUUUUAUUUAUAUAAUUUUUGUUUUAUUUUUUAUUUAAUGUUGAUUUACAAGUUUUAUAUUAUAUAUGUAAGUUUUUGUUUUGUUUACUAAUGAUACACUAAUUUACCACUCUUAUAUUAAUCUACUUGUUUUAUCUUCCAUUUAUAAUUCUUAUAUUUCAUUUACCUAAUUUAUAUUUUAUUUUACACUUAUUAUUGAUUAACAAGUUUUAUGUUAGAUUUGCCCUUUGUUUUGUUUGCCAUUGAUACACCAAUUUGACACUCAUACGUUACUUUAGUUUUUUUUAAUCUUCCAUUUACAUCAUUUAUAGUUUAUUUACACUUAAUAUUGAUUUAAAAAUUUUAUAUUAUAUCUGUAAUUUUUUUGUUUACUAAUAAUACAUCAAUUUACCAAUAUUAUUACGUUGAUUUUAUUUAUCUUACCUUCCAUUUACAGGUCUUGUGUUUUAUUUACAUAAUUUAUAUUUUUAUUUUACACUUGAUUUACACAUUUUAUGUUACAUUUGUAAGUUUUUGUUUUAUUUAUAAAUAAUAUACCAAUUUGCCACUCCUAUGUUAGUUUACUUAUUUUACCUUCCACUUAAAACUCUUAUGUACCAUUUACAUAAUUUAUGUUUUAAUUUAUAUUUAAUAUUGAUUUAUAAGUUUUAUAUUAAAUUUACAUGUCUUAUGAUUCAUUAAUAAUUAAUGUUUGAUUAUGGUAUUAAUGCCAUGAUUUUGAUUACGACAUCAUAAACUGAGAUAAAAUUAGGUUUUACUUUAAGUUAACAUGAAAGUGGCAUGUGGUUUUUUCCCCAAAAAAAUAAAAAUUAAAUGGUUGGAUUGGUAUUUAUUAGAUUUGAACACAUAAGUCCAUAAUUAAUCCAAUAACAUUGGAUUUUCCGUUUUGCAAUCCAAUACAAAAAAUGGUUUGGUUUCGAUUAGAUCUAUUAGUUUGAUUGGAUUGAAUUAAAUCUUAAAUACCUCUAAUUUGUUCAACAUCAAUUUGUUUCAUUUGAAUUUAUGGAUACGCGGGCUCAAUUUGAUCUUUAAUAGAUCUCUUCAUACCGGACCUAUUGAUAAUAUACAUGAUCUAUCCGAAUAAUAUUGGUUCUUUUUAAUUUCUUCUUCUCGUAACUUUUAUUAAAAAAAAAAAACUACAAUCCUCUAGACUUUGCUAUAUACAGAGGUUAAUUAAAAAAAAAAGGUCUUAAAAAAUUUUAUAAAUUAAGUUUCACUUUCAAUGGAUUAGAAAUUUUGAACUUGGGAUGCAUAGAUGCAGCUGAUCAUCUUUAUUCCAUGCAGACAAGAGAAAAUGCAUGGAUCCACGCACGCGCAGCACAAAAAUUAUAUCGAUAUACAAGAAAACAUGCAUGCAAAUGCAAAAUGAUCAUGUGCAAAAACUCGGACGCGAGAGUCACGACCUCUUGGCUAAACUGGCCAUAUAUAAUUUUACGAGCAAAGUUUGAAAUAAGAUGAAAACAUAAUUUCUCGCAAUAAACCUACCAUUGAGAACAACUGCAGGUAUAGAGACAUUGAUUAAGAGCAUACGUUAAAUAUCAUUUUAUUUAUUCUAGAGAUAGAUGCUGUUACUUGUGAGAUACUUGAUUUUCUCGCUACAUAUCUAUGAAACAGCCCAUGCACGCACAAGCACGGUUUUAUAGCAAGCUCGCUAGCUAGGAAAAUAUUAGAAUCAAAAGUUGCCUCCAAUUCCCCCACCAGCACCACCACCAAAACCUCCACCACCUCCUUUGCCUCCUCCACUGCCACCACCACCAGCACCACCACCUCCACCAAAUCCUCCUCCACCUCCUGCACCACCACCAAUGCCACCCCCAGCACCACCUCCAGCUCCACCUCCUAUGCCGCCACCUUUACCACCCCCAAUGCCACCACCAGCACCUCCUCCUAUACCACCACCAGCACCGCCGCCAACUCCACCUCCUAUACCACCACCUUUUCCACCCCCAAUGCCACCACCAACUCCUCCACCAUGUCCACCACCAAUACCCCCACCAGUGCCUCCUCCGGCCCCACCACCUUUUCCACCUCCAAUGCCACCACCAUGUCCACCUCCGGCACCACCACCAUGUCCACCUCCAGCACCACCACCAUGUCCACCUCCAGCACCACCACCAUGUCCACCUCCAGCACCACCACCAUGUCCACCUCCAGCACCACCACCAUGUCCACCUCCAGCACCACCACCAAAUCCUCCACCAGCACCACCACCACCAAGACCUCCUCCUCCUCCUGCACCACCCCCACCACCAAAACCACCUCCAGUGCCUUUAGCAAAUUCAUCUUCCUCAAGUUUCCUACAUUCCGAAAUUCCUAUGACCAACACAAAGAACACAACCAUCACACCAACAGACUUAAAUAUUAGUUUCCCCAUAUUUCUAAAAG
This 8902-nucleotide long non-coding RNA is filed under the name Citrus sinensis (sweet orange). RNAcentral describes it as "long non-coding RNA (CSIN_LNC003709)". Lineage: Eukaryota; Viridiplantae; Streptophyta; Magnoliopsida; Sapindales; Rutaceae. The record is from RNAcentral.